RNAcentral lists this ribosomal RNA (499 nucleotides) under uncultured Glomeromycotina. Its description in RNAcentral is "partial small subunit ribosomal RNA". It matches the Rfam family "Eukaryotic small subunit ribosomal RNA", at positions 591 to 1092 of the family's 1831-position model. Lineage: Eukaryota; Fungi; Glomeromycota. The record is from RNAcentral.
CCAAUAGCGUAUAUUAAAGUUGUUGCAGUUAAAAAGCUCGUAGUUGAAUUUCGGGAUCAAUACGUCGGUCGUGCUUCGGUACGUACUGGCGUAAUUGAUUUCUCCCUUCUGACGAACCAUGAUGUCAUUAACUUGGUGUCAUGGGAAAUCAGGACUGUUACUUUGAAAAAAUUAGAGUGUUUAAAGCAGGCUCACGCUUGAAUACAUUAGCAUGGAAUAAUGAAAUAGGAGGUUCGAUCCUAUUUUGUUGGUUUUUAGGAUCAACGUAAUGAUUAAUAGGGAUAGUUGGGGGCAUUAGUAUUCAAUUGUCAGAGGUGAAAUUCUUGGAUUUAUUGAAGACUAACUACUGCGAAAGCAUUUGCCAAGGAUGUUUUCAUUAAUCAAGAACGAAAGUUAGGGGAUCGAAGACGAUCAGAUACCGUCGUAGUCUUAACCAUAAACUAUGCCGACUAGGGAUCGGAUGAUGUUAAUUUUUUAAUGACUCAUUCGGCGCCUUACG